GAGAAUAACCAAACUUAAAAAUGAAUGUUCUUGAUAAUAAUGAUGGGUAUCAACCAAACAGGAAAUUCUUGGUUAAAUUAAUAUACAUCUAUUGUAGUAACAAACGUCGUUAUAAAUUACAGAAGAAAUUAUAUUUAAGAAAAUACACAACUAAAAAAAAAAUCAUUGUUCAUUCAACUAACAAAAUUUCAAUAAUUACAUGCUUUAACUUCAUCUAGAAAGCUUUCCUAACAUCUUUUCCUGAUUGUCAAUUUCUUCAGCCAAGGCAGCAAUUCCAUUAAUUGGUAUUCUGAAUUAUAAGCUGUUAGGUAUGAUACAACAUGGGGCUACUUUGAUUCUUUAAAAUCCUACUGAUGUACAAUGCGAAGAUUAUGGCAUGGGAAUCAGAACUGCAAAAUUGGAAGGGACCCAAAUGCCACUAACCUUGGCCUAGCUUGGCAACUCCAUUGAGGCAAAAUCUUCUGAUCCAGUAAAUCUGAUUUUCAAGCAUGUCAACUAGCAGUAGAAGAUUCUUUAGAUUUCUCUGCCAGCACCUCCUUAUCUGAGUUAUUGCUAGCAUCACCAGUUAGAUUGUGACUUGUUUGCAACUGAAUUGAAGUCUGUGGAUCUGGAGCUAUUCCCAGAACCACCAGAAUAGACCUUGGUAGUGAAGAUUUGAUGUUUGGUUGGCUAGCAUGAGCAACCAAAGGGGCUUUCAAUGCUGCAGUUCUAUUCAGUGCAUUUUCCAGCUGCGGAGGAGGUAGCUGAAGCAACACACUAAAUGACUGAGGCUUUGUCAAGAGGGCACACUUCAAGAAUCCAACCCACAACUUCGGGUAUUUCCAUAUCUGCUUGUUAACAAGACGAGAAAGGAUCUCCAUUAUAAAUUCCACCAGUGCUGGAAAAGCACCUAUAGCUUGUAACACCGUACGCAUGAAUAACAAAGGAAGAGGAAUCUGCUCAACCAACUGAUUCAAAACUUUCGCAAUAACUUGUUGAGUAAAUAUCUGCCGUUGCUCGAAACAAGCAUUACAUGCAUCUGUGACCUUCUUCAAGGGAAUUCCAUCUUUGUCGGGAUCAAUUCCAUGAAUGGCUAUUAACACUUCUGCUGGAGAGAGCACUGGACCAGAGUGAGGUGAUCCCUGUAGUACACGUGCAAGUGCAGCUUGGAACUUAUCAGGAGGAAGAUUCACAAGAUGGGGAAAGGUCAGCAAAACCUCAUCUCUUGGUAGGAAUGGCAGUACUGGAAUCAGAAUCUCUAUAUCCUUUAGCUUUGAAUCAUAUAACUUCCUAAUGGUGAACAAUAAUUCAGGAGAAGGAACUGUCCCCUCUGUCAAUGUUUGUAAAACCUGCAUCAGAAGAUUUUCACUUCCAAUUGGAGGAUCAGAAAGUAUUUCAAGAAGUUCAGAUGAUGAUCCCAUAGUGCGGACUAGUAUCGGAAUAUGGCGAUGAACUGCCUGCUUCACUGCCUUUGAAGUGCUUUUAUAAAUGAGAAAAAUUUGGCGAAAUAGGGAGUGUUUCUUUGUGCAAAGAGCAAAGUACAGUGACAUGCACCGCUGGGCCUCAGGGAUUGAGAGAGAUGAUGCACUUUCUGAUGUGAAUGAUUGAUGAGCAUCUGAAGAAAUAUCUUUGCUGGCAGCACUCACUGACUGAUGGUCAUUUGAUGUUUUUUCAAAAUUGGAAUCCUCCUGUGGUUCACUGCUCAAUCCUUCAGCAUCUGUACCUUCUGUGGUAUCUCUACUUAUGAUACAGAGCAAUUUUUCCUUAGCAAAAUCUUCUAUUUGUUGAGCAAUGGAUGAGAUAGGAUAAAGCUUGUUUGCCACCAGGCGAAUUGCUUUCAUGCGCACUUCCUCCAAGUGAUGAACUGCACUCUGCAAAGCGAUUUUCAAGCAGACUUCUCGCAUAGGAGGCCUCUGCAAAAUCAAGCUCCACACAGUGCUGAGACCUUGAGUAACUCGAUCCCCACUUGGGAACUCCUUCUCAGCUUUAUCAUUUCCAGGACAACACAAGGACUCCAACAAAUUCAGAACUGACUUUGGAAGAGAAGGAGCUUCACCAAGCAAUCUACUUAAUGAUUUGUCUGAUGGAGGAAAAGAGUCUCUAAGUGUUUCAGCCACAGUUAGGAGGAACAUUUCAUAAACAGAAGCAGCAGUUGUAGAAGAAAAGAAAUCGCGUUCCUCUUCUACCUCACCAAAUAAUCUGUAGAGGACACGCAAAGUCAACUCGUGUCCCUCAUGAUUCACGUAAUCUGACAAUAUGUGCUUCUGAAGGAGUUUCCACGGGUCUAACUCUGAUGGAAACUCAACUCCUAAAUAAGCAAGCAAGGAAAAGCGGAUUUGUGAACCUCCCGCAACUGCUAUUUGCUUAUAGGCCUCAACAAUGUGCAUAAAGGCCAAAUUUUGCAGUUGAUCCUUCUGUUCUUCUGCAAGAUCAACAACAGGUGCUGACAUUUUUGGGAGGACAAAAGUGCUAGGUAAACUCACAGUAGCUGUUGUAGAAGAGAUUAGACAGUUAGAAUCUGCCACAGCUGCUUUUGGACUAAGCUCCUCUGACCUAUCUGUUGAUGCCGCUGGAUGCAAAUCCAGGGUUGAACUUCCAUCCAAACUUGUAACUUGCUCUUGACUGGCAUCUUCCAGAUCGGUAGAGACUAAUGACAAAGCGGCCACAGUUUCAGAACAUCCAUCAUCAUGAGCAGAAGAAUCUAGGCCAGGUAUCUCACUCUCCAGAUUCCCAAGACUCAGGCUAUCAGAUGGAAUAUCCAUCUCCAUUCCAGAUAAGAUCACAUUUGAAGGUGCCGGUAAACUAGCAGGUAAGAUUUCAUUUUCAGCUCCAUGACUUAUUCCAGAAUAUACAACAUUACUAUCAACCACAGGCUGCACUUGUGCCGUCCUCUCUAUGUCAUUGGAAGCUGACUGGUGAGCAUUUAGCCGUAAUGCUAUCGGCGGGAAAGAAGUAGAAAGUGAAAGAACAUUAGUCAAAAAUGAAUAUGGAUACUUGGCUUGAGUGUUACUACCAAUUAUAGUCAUAUUCACUAGCGAUUCAUCGUCUCCUUCAGCUUGAGGAUGACUAGUAGGAAGGUAGCGCAUGUUAGCCAUCACUACUUCAGCUAACAAGUCAGCAGAGAUACUCGAAAUAAGAAUCUCCAAGGAACCAACAGCUUUUUCACCUUGAGCAACCAAGGCCCCGAACAUUGCAACAAGUUGCUGUACAGGUCCAGUAUCAUCUUCUCCUCCAUUAACUGUAGGUCCAUCUGCAGGACCAUCAUCUUGAGACGCUGAAAUAUUCCUAUUCAACUCUUUAGUUGAUUCCUCUGAAACACUUGGCAUCGGUCUGGCACGUUUUCCAGACACAUCAUUGUCUUCUGCCAACUCACUACUAUCCUCUGCUCCAGAUCUUUUCCUUCCCAAUAUACCUUGUAUGCCAUCAAAUGUUUCAACCUCAUCCAUAACAGCUGUCGAAACUUCCUCUCCCUCCUCAGUACCCCUCUUAAUCUUGAAAACUUGAUGUAGGGCUUCCUCAGCGACCCCUCCAGCUUUCAGCUCUCUUAGGGCACCAACUAAACGAUCCCGCCACGGUGCAGCACCAGGGUGCGUACAUUUCAAGCAGGUGAGGAAAGCACUUUUCAAAGCAUGAUUUGCUCCAGAUGCAUGCAUAACUUCAAUACCAGAGCCUGAUGGACCCAAACCAAGUAAAACUGGCAGGAUGCGUCCAUAAUAUGGGGGCCUUUUCUUUGCAAUUGUAGCAAGACCAUUAAUGAGCACCACAAUCACCAAGUUAUUGAGAGAUUUCACUGUUGGGAACCUAAGCUGAUCAAGCAAUAAACCCAAUCUUUUGCUGGCCUCAAUUGACAAAUCUCCUAUAUUUAGUAUUGGGUGGCCCCCACGAAGCCAUGAUAUAUUAAACUCCACAAGUUCUCCUUCAUGACGAGGGGGUUCUGGGGAGCCAUUUGGAUCAGGUGUGUAAAGAAGAAUGACUGCUUCCACAAACUUCAAGGCUAGCAACCUUACCCCGCCACUUCCAGGCUGAAAAGCUAUAGAGUACAUUUUUUCCUUGAAUUCUAACAUUGAAGACCACGAUGACUUGAGCAAAUCAUCCAACUCACUGGCGUAAAGUCCCUGAAUCGCAAGUUUUUGAAGGGUAGACCGAAACAAAUUAAUCCCACAAGUGAUGGCUUGUCUAGCAACGGCUGGUGCACUAUCUUCCAAAACACUCAUUAAAACAGGAACGAUUUCAGGCACAAAUUCCAAGUGGUUGAGUCCAAUUUCUCCAAUUAUCUGGGCAACACGUUUGCGAACCGGAGAAUGCUGAUCAGACUGCAACUCGAAGAGGCGAGGGAGGAACUCAGAAAGCGAACCAGUGUCAUCUUCUUGGAGCAAAUUUUGGUUUAAUUGACGCAAAUUUUCAAGCUUUGAAGGUAUGUCUAUGGACGACCUGACGAGGGUGGCGAGCCUAUCUCUCGAAGUGGAAUUCGUCAUCCCCACCAUUGCAGAAUCUGAAAACCCUAAUUUUGGCAGGUCGAGGUGAGAUGCUUAGAGAAGCAUAUUAAUUAUUAGUUCUGACAGAGGGCAAAGAAAAAUUUGAAUGCUGAUAUCCACAAAAUAAAAGGAUUGGAUGAGAUCAAAACCAGAGAAAGGGAAUAGCCACUAGGGUUCAGUUCAUCAACUUUGGUAGAGACGGUUCAGUUUGGACCUUUGGUCCUCUGAAGGCCAAAAAAAUAAAAGCUGUAAUAAAC
Molecule: unclassified non-coding RNA, 4711 nt
Filed under: Hevea brasiliensis (rubber tree)
Lineage: Eukaryota; Viridiplantae; Streptophyta; Magnoliopsida; Malpighiales; Euphorbiaceae
Source: RNAcentral